Small nucleolar RNA from Patiria miniata (bat star), 81 nucleotides. NCBI's taxonomy places the organism in Eukaryota, Metazoa, Echinodermata, Asteroidea, Valvatida, Asterinidae. The record is from RefSeq and is a predicted model, not a curated record.
CUGCAGUGAUGUUUUGAAUUUCUUCACCUGAAGCAUUCCGUGUUGAAUGUAUCACAAUCGAGCUUUUUAAAUCUGAGCAGG